AGCCUUCCGAAUCAGUGUUGAGAUUUUGUCAGACCAUCAGUACCGAUGAGACUUCCAAGAUAAGUGUAGCG
Molecule: non-coding RNA, 71 nt
Organism: Schistosoma haematobium
Lineage: Eukaryota; Metazoa; Platyhelminthes; Trematoda; Strigeidida; Schistosomatidae
Source: Rfam